This 305-nucleotide ribosomal RNA is filed under the name uncultured bacterium. RNAcentral describes it as "partial 16S ribosomal RNA". It matches the Rfam family "Bacterial small subunit ribosomal RNA", at positions 335 to 659 of the family's 1533-position model. The record is from RNAcentral.
UACCUACGGGGGGCAGCAGUGGGGGAUAUUGCACAAUGGGGGGAACCCUGAUGCAGCGACGCCGCGUGGUGAAGGAGCGUUUCGGCGCGUAAAGCCCUAUCGGCAGGGAAGAAGAUGACGGUACCUGACCAAGAAGCCCCGGCUAACUACGUGCCAGCAGCCGCGGUAAUACGUAGGGGGCAGGCGUUAUCCGGAUUUACUGGGUGUAAAGGGGGCGCAGACGGCAAUGCAAGCCAGGAGUGAAAGCCCGGGGCCCAACCCCGGGACUGCAUUUGGAACUGUGUGGCUGUAGUGUCGGAGAGGCG